Molecule: ribosomal RNA, 476 nt
Filed under: uncultured bacterium
Lineage: Bacteria
Description: bacterial SSU rRNA
Rfam family: Bacterial small subunit ribosomal RNA
Source: RNAcentral
AAUCAACGCUGGCGGCGUGCCUAACACAUGCAAGUCGAACGAUUAAAGCCCUUUCGGGGGUGUAUAGAGUGGCGUACGGGUGAGUAACACGUGGGUAAUCUACCUUUGGGUGGGGAAUAACUCAGGGAAACUUGAGCUAAUACCGCAUAAUGCAGCGGCUCGACAUCGAGACAGUUGUUAAAGAUUUAUCGCCUGAAGAGGAGCCUGCGCCUGAUUAGCUAGUUGGUGGGGUAAUGGCUUACCAAGGCUACGAUCAGUAGCUGGUCUGAGAGGACGGCCAGCCACAAUGGCACUGAAACACGGGCCAUACUCCUACGGGAGGCAGCAGUGGGGAAUAUUGGACAAUGGGCGAAAGCCUGAUCCAGCCAUGCCGCGUGAGUGAAGAAGGCCUUAGGGUUGUAAAGCUCUUUUGGCGGGAAGAUAAUGACGGUACCCGCAGAAUAAGCUCCGGCUAACUUCGUGCCAGCCGCCGCGGU